Long non-coding RNA from Cydia splendana, 714 nucleotides. RefSeq lists it as uncharacterized. NCBI's taxonomy places the organism in Eukaryota, Metazoa, Arthropoda, Insecta, Lepidoptera, Tortricidae. The transcript is spliced from 3 exons. The record is from RefSeq and is a predicted model, not a curated record.
CUGGGUAGAAAGCGGCGCACACCUCUCGACACCCCUGAGCCGCUCACACCGGUGUUGCCCUUGAGCCAUCCUAGAUGUCGCUUUUUGUGGGGGCCCAUCUUGUGAGGGCGAGUCACCGUCUGCCGGAAAUAAAAUUGCAUACCGUUUUAUUAGGCAGGCGUCCGGUUUUUUACCCCAUAGCUCAGUUCUUAGUCCAUCGCUUUCACCCAAUAACCUAGUUCAUUUUAGAUUCCAUCAACUCUCAAUAGUCCUUACACCCUGGCGGGUGCUGCCUCUGCGUGCGUCCCAUGACACGGGCAAGGGCAGCCUCCGCUCGGUGUACCCCUUACAUUUCAUUAAAGUGUCAAAAGGGCCUCUACGUGUUGGCUUCGGCUCCGCGCACGCCUCCCAAAGGUCCGGAACACCAUUGUUCCGUGAUGGGAAAGACAUACAAAUAAUAAUAAUAAUAAUAAAUAUUAUAGGACAUUUUUACACAAAUUGACUAAGCCCCACAGUAAGCUCAAGAAGGCUUCUUGUGUUGUGGGUACUCAGACAACGAUAUAUAUAAUAUAUAAAUACUUAAAUACAUAGAAAACACCCAUGACUCAGGAACAAAUAUCUGUAUCAUCAUACAAAUAAAUGCCCUUACCAGGAUUCGAACCCGGGACCAUCGGCUUCAUAGGCAGGGUCACUACCCACUAGGCCAGACCGGUUGUCAAAAGGAUAAAACAUAAU